AGUCAAACAUGUUGCUUGAGACUCACCCCGGCGCUUUUGCUUGGUGUAUUUCUCGGUGGCAAGCCAGCAUUGGUUUGUGUCGUCGGAGAAGCGCAUAGGGAAUGUAGCGUUCCCGGACGUGUUAUAGCCUUGUGCAGGAUACCACGACCUGGUUCAAGGAACGCA
RNAcentral lists this ribosomal RNA (165 nucleotides) under Basidiomycota sp. BAB-1532. RNAcentral's name for it is "partial 28S ribosomal RNA". Lineage: Eukaryota; Fungi; Basidiomycota. The record is from RNAcentral.